AUUUGGCGGACGGGUGAGUAACGCGUGGGAAUCUACCUAGCUCUACGGAAUAACCCAGGGAAACUUGGACUAAUACCGUAUACGUCCUUCGGGAGAAAGAUUUAUCGGAGUUGGAUGAGCCCGCGUUGGAUUAGCUAGUUGGUGGGGUAAUGGCCUACCAAGGCGACGAUCCAUAGCUGGUCUGAGAGGAUGAUCAGCCACACUGGGACUGAGACGCGGCCCAGACUCCUACGGGAGGCAGCAGUGGGGAAUAUUGGACAAUGGGCGAAAGCCUGAUCCAGCCAUGCCGCGUGAGUGAUGAAGGCCCUAGGGUUGUAAAGCUCUUUCAACGGUGAAGAUAAUGACGGUAACCGUAGAAGAAGCCCCGGCUAACUUCGUGCCAGCAGCCGCGGUAAUAAUC
This 400-nucleotide ribosomal RNA is filed under the name uncultured Mesorhizobium sp. Its description in RNAcentral is "bacterial SSU rRNA". It matches the Rfam family "Bacterial small subunit ribosomal RNA", at positions 93 to 526 of the family's 1533-position model. Lineage: Bacteria; Pseudomonadati; Pseudomonadota; Alphaproteobacteria; Hyphomicrobiales; Phyllobacteriaceae. The record is from RNAcentral.